AAUUAUCUGUUGUGUUUGUGAUUGGUUAUAUAUCCUGAGCCGAUUAAAAACAACAAAAGGAAAUGAGAUAGCUUACUUUUGUGUAAGCCUACCUUGAAGUAGGAAACCUACGGUAAUCUUCGAACUUCCGCCUUGAACUAUAUGGUUCAGUCUUGCAUCAACACGGCACAAUGGACUCCUU
Molecule: non-coding RNA, 181 nt
Filed under: Gammaproteobacteria bacterium
Lineage: Bacteria; Pseudomonadati; Pseudomonadota; Gammaproteobacteria
Also listed under: 1 other name
Description: 6S RNA
Rfam family: 6S / SsrS RNA
About the family: E. coli 6S RNA was the first non coding RNA to be sequenced, but its function was unknown until recently. It consists of 184 nucleotides that fold into an extended hairpin structure with a large single-stranded internal bulge.
Source: RNAcentral